AUCAUUUUUACUAACAUAAUGUGCAGUUUUAAAAAAAUUUUUCAAGUGUACGCACGUUUAGUUUGUAACAACAUUUACUAAUAUAGUCUCAACAUUUAUUAAUAUAGUUGUUUAUUCAACACAUUUUUUAAUAACGCCGAUUGGAAAAUAAAAAUAUAAAACGUUUAACAACUACAUCUGUUUCAUAUUUGAUGCAAAGCAACGGGCCUUCAAAAGAAAACUUUGGAAAUGAAAAUCGGAAUAUUGACAAUCUCCGUGGUAUGUGCGUAAUGAUGACGUUCAACGUAAUCUGAAAGUGUCCACAGCAUGUGAAGAAAUGUCGCCGUUUAGUGAUUCCCUUUGAACAGCAUCCACACGUUCAAUGUGAUCAAAGUGAUCAAUCUUUUAGACACUUAGUGUAAGAGCAAAUAUGCUUAAUACAUACUGCCGUGGUUAGGAAAAGACACUUCAUUUACAAUUAAUAGUAAUAUAAACGAAACUAAGAUUGUAGACGAAACUACCGUUUUAAAUUGUUUUUGAUAAAUUUAUUGUAGCUUUGCCAACCCGUCUGUUGUCUGUUUCAUCCAAAAUUUGUCUAUCAAUGAUUUUGUUUCGUAUUGAUUGAUGAAUCUUAAAUGUUUAUAUAUAUUUAUUAAUUUUAAUUUUGAUGUAAAUGGUUAACAGUUCGAUGUAAAAUGCAUUCUUGCAUACUGGUACCUGUCAUGCUAUCCUCUGACAAACGUACAUCAUCGUAUACAAUCAGCCUUUAUGGCAUACAUAAUAUACGAGGAGUGUUAAUGUCAUAGUUUCAGGACCUCUAACGAUGUACAAUUUGGCUACGAGUGAUACAAAUCAGCGCAUUGCUGUGGUCAGGUCCGGGAUCUUAAAACUGAUUUUAACAAUUUUGCAUAAAAUUAUUGACAGUUAAUAAUAAUAUAAACGAAAUUAAGAUUGUUCAAUAAUAGAAAUAAGAAAUUUGAUAACAAUUAAUGUUUUACCAGGUGUUCGCCGAAACUACCUUUUUAAAUUGUUUUUGAUAAAUUUAUUAUGGCUUUGCCAAUCCGUCUGUUGUCUGU
Molecule: long non-coding RNA, 1055 nt
Organism: Chrysoperla carnea
Lineage: Eukaryota; Metazoa; Arthropoda; Insecta; Neuroptera; Chrysopidae
Exons: 3
Source: RefSeq, a predicted model, not a curated record